This 729-nucleotide ribosomal RNA is filed under the name uncultured eukaryote. RNAcentral's name for it is "SSU rRNA". It matches the Rfam family "Eukaryotic small subunit ribosomal RNA", at positions 670 to 1426 of the family's 1831-position model. The record is from RNAcentral.
CGGGUGCACUGAUCCAGCCGGGCCUUUCCCUCUGUGGAACCCCAUGGCCUUCACUGGCUGUGGCGGGGAAACAGGACUUUUACUUUGAAAAAAUUAGAGUGCUCCAGGCAGGCCUAUGCUCGAAUACAUUAGCAUGGAAUAAUAGAAUAGGACGUGUGGUUCUAUUUUGUUGGUUUCUAGGACCGCCGUAAUGAUUAAUAGGGACAGUCGGGGGCAUCAGUAUUCAAUUGUCAGAGGUGAAAUUCUUGGAUCUAUUGAAGACUAACUACUGCGAAAGCAUUUGCCAAGGAUGUUUUCAUUGAUAAGGAACGAAAGUUAGGGGAUCGAAGACGAUCAGAUACCGUCGUAGUCUUAACUAUAAACUAUGCCGACUAGGGAUCGGACGAUGUUAUUCUUUGACGCGUUCGGCACCUUUCGAGAAAUCAAAGUGCUUGGGCUCCAGGGGGAGUAUGGUCGCAAGGCUGAAACUUAAAGAAAUUGACGGAAGGGCACCACCAGGGGUGGAACCUGCGGCUUAAUUUGACUCAACACGGGGAAACUCACCAGGUCCAGACACAGUGAGGAUUGACAGAUUGAGAGCUCUUUCUUGAUUCUGUGGGUGGUGGUGCAUGGCCGUUCUUAGUUGGUGGAGUGAUUUGUCUGCUUAAUUGCGAUAACGAACGAGACCUUAACCUGCUAAAUAGCUCGUACUGCUUUGGCAGUUCGCCGGCUUCUUAGAGGGACUAUCGG